RNAcentral lists this ribosomal RNA (477 nucleotides) under uncultured bacterium. Its description in RNAcentral is "partial 16S ribosomal RNA". It matches the Rfam family "Bacterial small subunit ribosomal RNA", at positions 28 to 507 of the family's 1533-position model. The record is from RNAcentral.
GAUAAACGCUGGCGGCGUGCAUAACACAUGCAAGUCGAACGAUGAAGAUUAAAAGAUUUCUUCGGAAUGAACUUAAUUGGAUUAGUGGCGGACGGGUGAGUAACGCGUGAGUAACCCGCCUUGUACAAGGGGAUAGCCGUUGGAAACGACGAAUAAUACCCUAUGACAUCAAAUAAUCGCAUGAUAAUUUGAUCAAAGAUUUAUCGGUAUAAGAUGGACUCGCGUCUGAUUAGCUAGUUGGUAGAGUAAAAGCCUACCAAGGCAACGAUCAGUAGCCGGCUUGAGAGAGUGUACGGCCACAUUGGGACUGAGACACGGCCCAGACUCCUACGGGAGGCAGCAGUGGGGAAUUUUGCACAAUGGGGGAAACCCUGAUGCAGCGACGCCGCGUGAUUUAGAAGGCCUUCGGGUUGUAAAAAUCUUUUGUAUGGGAAGAAAAUGACAGUACCAUACGAAUAAGGACCGGCUAAUUACGUG